This 348-nucleotide unclassified non-coding RNA is filed under the name soil metagenome. RNAcentral's name for it is "partial contains 5.8S ribosomal RNA, internal transcribed spacer 2, and large subunit ribosomal RNA". The stretch from base 1 to 120 matches the Rfam family "5.8S ribosomal RNA", at positions 35 to 154 of the family's 154-position model. The record is from RNAcentral.
GAUGAAGAACGCAGCAAAAUGCGAUAAGUAAUGUGAAUUGCAGAAUUCAGUGAAUCAUCGAAUCUUUGAACACACAUUGCGCCCGCUGGUAUUCCGGCGGGCAUGCCUGUUCGAGCGUCAUUUCAACCCUCAAGCCCCCGGGUUUGGUGUUGGGGAUCGGCUCUGCCCUUCUGGGCGGUGCCGCCCCCGAAAUACAUUGGCGGUCUCGCUGCAGCCUCCAUUGCGUAGUAGCUAACACCUCGCAACUGGAACGCGGCGCGGCCAUGCCGUAAAACCCCAACUUCUGAAUGUUGACCUCGGAUCAGGUAGGAAUACCCGCUGAACUUAAGCAUAUCAAUAAGCGGAGGA